UGCCAGCAGCCGCGGUAAUACGGAGGGGGUUAGCGUUGUUCGGAAUUACUGGGCGUAAAGCGCACGUAGGCGGAUUAGAAAGUUGGGGGUGAAAUCCCAGGGCUCAACCCUGGAACUGCCUCCAAAACUACUAGUCUUGAGUUCGAGAGAGGUGAGUGGAAUUCCGAGUGUAGAGGUGAAAUUCGUAGAUAUUCGGAGGAACACCAGUGGCGAAGGCGACUUCCUGGGCCAAUACUGACGCUGAGGUGCGAAAGCGUGGGGAGCAAACAGGAUUAGAUA
RNAcentral lists this ribosomal RNA (279 nucleotides) under uncultured bacterium. RNAcentral describes it as "partial 16S ribosomal RNA". It matches the Rfam family "Bacterial small subunit ribosomal RNA", at positions 506 to 784 of the family's 1533-position model. The record is from RNAcentral.